Molecule: transfer RNA, 64 nt
Filed under: Margattea angusta
Lineage: Eukaryota; Metazoa; Arthropoda; Insecta; Blattodea; Pseudophyllodromiidae
Description: tRNA-Glu
Rfam family: tRNA
About the family: Transfer RNA (tRNA) molecules are approximately 80 nucleotides in length. Their secondary structure includes four short double-helical elements and three loops (D, anti-codon, and T loops).
Source: RNAcentral
AUUUAUGUAGUUUAAUAAAAACAUUACAUUUUCACUGUAAAAAUAAAUUCCCUUUUCAUAAAUA